UACGGAGGGUGCAAGCGUUAUCCGGAUUCACUGGGUUUAAAGGGUGCGUAGGUGGGCAGGUAAGUCAGCGGUGAAAUCCCCGAGCUUAACUUGGGAACUGCCAUUGAUACUAUCUGUCUUGAAUACCUUGGAGGUGAGCGGAAUAUGUCAUGUAGCGGUGAAAUGCUUAGAUAUGACAUAGAACACCAAUUGCGAAGGCAGCUCACUACACGGUCAUUGACACUGAGGCACGAAAGCGUGGGGAGCAAACAGG
Molecule: ribosomal RNA, 253 nt
Filed under: uncultured bacterium
Lineage: Bacteria
Description: partial 16S ribosomal RNA
Rfam family: Bacterial small subunit ribosomal RNA
Source: RNAcentral